AACGAACGCCUGCGGCGCGCCUAAUACAUGCAAGUCGAACGAACCAGCGAUGGUGAGUGGCGCACGGGUGAGUAACGCGUGGAUAAUCUGCCCUCUACUGGGGAAUAACUAACCGAAAGGUUAGCUAAUACCGCAUGAGACCACGAUCCCUGAGGGGAACGAGGUUAAAGAUUUAUUGGUAGAGGAUGAGUCUGCGUGGGAUUAGCUAGUUGGUGGGGUAACGGCCUACCAAGGCGACGAUCUCUAACAGGUCUGAGAGGAUGACCUGUCACACUGGAACUGAGACACGGUCCAGACUCCUACGGGAGGCAGCAGUGGGGAAUAUUGCGCAAUGGGGGAAACCCUGACGCAGCGACGCCGCGUGAGUGAUGAAGGCCUUAGGGUCGUAAAGCUCUGUUGUAGGGGAAGAACACAAUGACGGUACCCUAUAAGAAAGAUCGGCUAACUUCGUGCCAGCAGCCGCCGUAAU
Molecule: ribosomal RNA, 469 nt
Filed under: uncultured bacterium
Lineage: Bacteria
Description: bacterial SSU rRNA
Rfam family: Bacterial small subunit ribosomal RNA
Source: RNAcentral